Molecule: non-coding RNA, 107 nt
Organism: Capsicum annuum
Lineage: Eukaryota; Viridiplantae; Streptophyta; Magnoliopsida; Solanales; Solanaceae
Source: Rfam
UAUUGGUGAUGUGGCCAAUCUCUGAAAAGAGACUUAAAUCUCUCCCAUGAUUUAUAGAAAUUUCUAUCUAGCUUUUUCUUAAAACUUAGGAUCUCACUCCUCAACCU